RNAcentral lists this long non-coding RNA (1809 nucleotides) under Cinara cedri. The record is from RNAcentral. Lineage: Eukaryota; Metazoa; Arthropoda; Insecta; Hemiptera; Aphididae.
AUGUACAUAUCUAACUAUUUAAUUAUUUUCAUUAACAUAGCCACCUUGCCAAGAUGUAUAAAUUAAUAGGGAGAGCAACAGUCUGCAGAGGAAGCAUCUGCAUACUCUGCUUCAUCCACAACAGUACCUGUGUAUAUAAUAAUAUACCUCCGGUUUAACACUGAUUGGUUGUUUUUAUUUUUAAAAAAAAAAAAUAAACAAUAUUUUAUUUUAUUAUUUAUUUUACUUAAAAUUCAAAUAGUAAAUAUAUUUAAUAUUUAUUUUAUACAUUUAAUAGUCAUGUGGAAGACGAGAUUAAUUCAUAUACUAUUGUUGUGCAAGGCCAAACGUCAUUACACAUACAUACACAAACAUCAUGAUGAUGUAUUUAUGAUAUACAAUAUUUCGUGAAAAAAAAUUAUAAUAUAAUUUAGAUUUAUAUGUGCAUUUUUUUUUUUUUUUUUUUUUUUUUGAGCAUCUCAUAAUACAACAAAUUAUUGUUUAUACAUAGAAAAAAAAAAAUAGUAACAUUAAAAAAAAAAAAAAAACCAUUUUGUGUCAUGAGGAAUUUGUUUAAAAAUAAUAAUAAUGAUUAAUGCGUUAUUUACUAAAAUAUUUCAAUAAACAUUGUUUUGAAUACAUAUUACAAUGAUAUAUUUUAACGCCGUAGUAAUAUAUUAUAUAGUAGGUAAAUAAUAAAAAUUAAAUAAAUAAUGUCCAUGUAAUACAUUCGUAAUACGCGUAACGCGGUUUUUACAAUAUUAUUAAGAGGCUUUUUUUAUUAUAAUGAUGGAAAAAUAAUAAUAGUAAUAAUAAUAAUAAUAAAAAUAAUAAUAAAUACAAUACAUAAUAGUAUAAAAAAAAAAAAAAAAAAAAAAAAGGAACUGGGGCUCAUGUCACAAACACAUUCACACAAAUACUUCAGAUAAUUAUAUUAUUAUAUGGCUCAAAGUUUGAUUAUAAUAUUAUGACGUUAGUUAAAUACGUUUGAUGGUGGUGGGGAUGGUAAUGGGAGAGAGGUUUGGGAAUUUCGGAAAAAAAAAAAAAAUAAUAAAAAAAUAAAAAAUAAAAUAAAAACGUAAGCCGAAUAUACGUGUCGAAUGGAAUUUUGAUUUCUCGUGAUCGACGGGGGCUGGCUAAUGGACGGGUACGAUAUUAAAAAAAAAAAAAAAAAAAAUCAAUCAAACUUCGCAGACAUUAAUAUCGAAAUCCUAAAUAAAGGCGACCGUUGAACAAAUGCGUUUAAAAAUAAUAAUGAUAAUAAUAAUAAUAAUAAAUAAUAGGCGAUACGCCGACGAUACACCGGGACGCAUAUGAUAACGAAAAGGAAAUAGCAAAAAAAAAAAAUAUAAUAAUAAUAAAAUAAAAAAAAGUUCGACCAUUCCGUAUAUGGUUUUGCCGAUGUUCCGUAUCACGUGCGUAUUAUCUCUAAACGAUGUAAUGCUCGUAGUGAUGGUAAUGAUGGUGUUCGUGUAUGUGAUGGUGAAUCUUCUUGGCGGAUCGCUGUUGCUGGUGAUGCGGUCUGCCGCCGGCGGCGGCCUGCGUCGCGGACGUCUGCUGCUUGCCGCCGUACAACAGCUGCUGCUGCUGCUGCUGUUGUUGCUGGUGCUGUUGCUGCUGGUGCUGAUAUUGUUGGCGCCUGGCGGCGUUUAGGUAGUGCUGUUGCCGUUGUUGGUGGUAGUGCUGUUGCUGUUGCUGGUGAUGGGGAUGAUAUGACGACGGGAUGUGAGCGACCGGUUCGAAGUCGUACGGGCUCCAUCCCACUUUCGCCGGAGUCCUGACCACCGGUUUCGCCGGCGUCGCAGGCGACGACGGCGGAUUGGCCGAGCC